RNAcentral lists this long non-coding RNA (615 nucleotides) under Anas zonorhyncha (Eastern spot-billed duck). RNAcentral describes it as "lncRNA (ENSAZOG00000007564.1)". The record is from RNAcentral. Lineage: Eukaryota; Metazoa; Chordata; Aves; Anseriformes; Anatidae.
AUCACUGGAUUUAAUAUUUGCAAUUUACUUCAAGGUUUGGUAACCAAUUAGAGAGGCAACGCCGUUUUUCGUGAGUUAAAUUGCAGAAACCUGACCUUUACCAUUGAAUUGAGAUAAUAUUUUAUUAGAAGAAAGCAUGAUUCAUUGAGUUGGUGAGCUUCGGAUCUGUGCAAAGGAAAACUGGGAAGGACACAAAAAAUCUGGGCUGUGGAAAACCAUUGCCACACAGAGAAUCUCAAUCUGUGCACAGAAACAGCACAAAGGAAGAAAAUAUUUCCAAGGAAACAUCUGAUCAUAGCACUGGAGCCAAUUUUCAAGUUCACAUUUUUCCUUGCAUUUCGUUCCUGGCUGCUGACUUCCUGCUUCCUGUUCUCUUGCUGUUUAUAGGAUGAACAUUGAUUUUCAGGCGAUCUAAUUAACUGCUUCCUAGAGGUGAGUAAAUAUUAUUUUCAUGUUGUGCAUGAGAGAAGCAAAGCAAAAAUUAAGUCAUCUAUCAAUGGCUGUAGACUGAAUCAUUGCUGAGUGUAUUAGCAUUUGUAAAUCAUGAACUUUCCUGGUUUUCUUAGACUGCAGUCCUUUUUAAAACCACAGGUAAGAGUAAGAAUACAAGUAAAU